Molecule: ribosomal RNA, 468 nt
Filed under: uncultured bacterium
Lineage: Bacteria
Description: partial 16S ribosomal RNA
Rfam family: Bacterial small subunit ribosomal RNA
Source: RNAcentral
GACGAACGCUGGCGGCGUGCUUAACACAUGCAAGUCGAACGGAAAGGCGCUGCUUUUGUGGGGUGCUCGAGUGGCGAACGGGUGAGUAACACGUGAGUAACCUGCCCUUGACUUUGGGAUAACUUCAGGAAACUGGGGCUAAUACCGGAUAGGAGCUCCUGCUGCAUGGUGGGGGUUGGAAAGUUUCGGCGGUUGGGGAUGGUCUCGCGGCUUAUCAGCUUGUUGGUGGGGUAGUGGCUUACCAAGGCUUUGAAGGGUAGCCGGCCUGAGAGGGUGACCGGCCACAUUGGGACUGAGAUACGGCCCAGACUCCUACGGGAGGCAGCAGUGGGGAAUAUUGCACAAUGGGCGGAAGCCUGAUGCAGCAACGCCGCGUGCGGGAUGACGGCCUUCGGGUUGUAAACCGCUUUCGCCUGUGACGAAGCGUGAGUGACGGUAAUGGGUAAAGAAGCACCGGCUAACUACGUG